This 752-nucleotide ribosomal RNA is filed under the name uncultured beta proteobacterium. RNAcentral describes it as "bacterial SSU rRNA". It matches the Rfam family "Bacterial small subunit ribosomal RNA", at positions 28 to 773 of the family's 1533-position model. The record is from RNAcentral. Lineage: Bacteria; Pseudomonadati; Pseudomonadota; Betaproteobacteria.
AUUGAACGCUGGCGGCAUGCCUUACACAUGCAAGUCGAACGGCAGCACGGGUGCUUGCACCUGGUGGCGAGUGGCGAACGGGUGAGUAAUACAUCGGGACAUGUCCUGUAGUGGGGGAUAGCCCGGCGAAAGCCGGAUUAAUACCGCAUACGAUCUACGGAUGAAAGCGGGGGACCUUCGGGCCUCGCGCUAUAGGGUUGGCCGAUGGCUGAUUAGCUAGUUGGUGGGGUAAAGGCCUACCAAGGCGACGAUCAGUAGCUGGUCUGAGAGGACGACCAGCCACACUGGGACUGAGACACGGCCCAGACUCCUACGGGAGGCAGCAGUGGGGAAUUUUGGACAAUGGGCGAAAGCCUGAUCCAGCAAUGCCGCGUGUGUGAAGAAGGCCUUCGGGUUGUAAAGCACUUUUGUCCGGAAAGAAAUCCUUGGUUCUAAUAUAGCCGGGGGAUGACGGUACCGGAAGAAUAAGCACCGGCUAACUACGUGCCAGCAGCCGCGGUAAUACGUAGGGUGCGAGCGUUAAUCGGAAUUACUGGGCGUAAAGCGUGCGCAGGCGGUUUGCUAAGACCGAUGUGAAAUCCCCGGGCUCAACCUGGGAACUGCAUUGGUGACUGGCAGGCUAGAGUAUGGCAGAGGGGGGUAGAAUUCCACGUGUAGCAGUGAAAUGCGUAGAGAUGUGGAGGAAUACCGAUGGCGAAGGCAGCCCCCUGGGCCAAUACUGGCGCUCAUGCACGAAAGCGUGGGGAGCAAAC